Amphibalanus amphitrite is the source of this 1261-nucleotide long non-coding RNA. RefSeq lists it as uncharacterized. The transcript has 3 exons. The record is from RefSeq and is a predicted model, not a curated record. NCBI's taxonomy places the organism in Eukaryota, Metazoa, Arthropoda, Thecostraca, Balanomorpha, Balanidae.
GAAAGUUCUCGCGGCAAUUUCCAUGUGCGUUUUUCUGUGUUGGAAGAGUCGUGUCGCGUUUGGUUGACGUUUGGAUUGUGCUCUAGGAGAGUGGAUAACGAUGGGUGGAAAUAGAAAGGAUGCGACCUCCAGAAAAAUGAACCUUCAGUGCACAAGGGAUUCCAGAGAAAAACUGUUCGCGCGCGCUCAUACAGGCGACGCCGUCGCCAUCACCAACAGUCUCGCGCUCGGACGCCCAUCGGAUACAGACGGAGGAGAGUGAGGCGCUGGACGAGCCUGUCUCUUGCCGUGCCGAAGACGCUGCGUCGGAAGACCGUCAGUUCCGGUUGGUGAAUCUGGCUGCUCUGACUCCGUCCAGCUGGCCGACGGGCGAGUGCCUACACAGCAGCUCGCUGGCGCCGCCGUUGCGCGCGCGCGUCCAGACGGCAGUGGGCCCGCGGGCCAGCCUCGCAGCAUCUGUAGUGGCCGUGCUGCGCGGAGGAAUGCAUCCGGGAGCUGCCGGAUGAGGCCGUCUGGAUCUGUUCGGACGGGCCGGCGGAGGAUGGUUUGGCGGCGGUGGCUCCCUGCUCCGCUUACCAGAUGGAGACGACUGGGUUAUACGGGUUCCGGCGGGCCGCUUCUGCUCCAGUGCGCGCGCGGAGCUCACCGCGCCCCCGCCCCGGUCCAAGCCGCUACCAGAUGGAGACGACUGGGACAUAUGGGUCCCGGCGGGCCGCUUCUGCUCCAGUGCGCGCGCGGAGCUCACGGCGCCCCCCGCCCCGGUCCGAGCUGCUACCAGGGAGAAGGCUGUUACACUUAUCAGCGCUGGUCGGGCCACUGUAUGUAUGUAUGUAUGUAUGUAUUUACCGAAUAAGGUCGCUCCACUGGUGCAGGGCUAUUCUGCGACCUUCGUCAUAUACAUACAAUGCAAUAUGAGCACACAAUGAACACUUCAUAAAAGACACACUGGGGAUGAUCGGGGCAGCAUCUCCACCGGAUUGAAAGAAGGCCAACGUCCGAGUGCGCCCAGUGCAGUCAGCAGUGACACCGAAUGUCCAACAGGCCGCUGCCUGGUCUGCGGCGAAGCAGCAGACAAUUAGGCGCACGUGUUGCUGGAGUAUCCGUGCUUUUACGGCCUCCGGCUCCGUGCGCGGGGAAACAUCGUCGGCGCGGCCCACGAUGUCGAACGCGACGACAUGGUGGCGAUCUUGGUCGCCGGCUACGAGGCCCACAAGAGCCUUGUUUUGGCUACGGCGGCAGCUAGUUUGGGGACACCACAACA